This 77-nucleotide transfer RNA is filed under the name Acidaminobacter hydrogenoformans DSM 2784. Its description in RNAcentral is "tRNA_Ile_GAT". It matches the Rfam family "tRNA". From Rfam's summary of the family: Transfer RNA (tRNA) molecules are approximately 80 nucleotides in length. Their secondary structure includes four short double-helical elements and three loops (D, anti-codon, and T loops). The record is from RNAcentral. Lineage: Bacteria; Bacillati; Bacillota; Clostridia; Peptostreptococcales; Acidaminobacteraceae. RNAcentral also lists the same sequence under 2 other names.
GGGCGUGUAGCUCAGGUGGUUAGAGCGCACGCCUGAUAAGCGUGAGGUCGAUGGUUCGAGUCCAUCCAUGCCCACCA